This 256-nucleotide ribosomal RNA is filed under the name uncultured bacterium. RNAcentral describes it as "partial 16S ribosomal RNA". It matches the Rfam family "Bacterial small subunit ribosomal RNA", at positions 521 to 776 of the family's 1533-position model. The record is from RNAcentral.
UAAGACGAAGGACCCAAGCGUUAUCCGGAUUUAUUGGGUUUAAAGGGUGCGUAGGCGGGUUGUUAAGUCAGUGGUGAAAGCCUAGAGCUUAACUCUAGAAUUGCCAUUGAUACUGACGAUCUUGAGGAUAGUUGAGGUGGGCGGAAUGUAUCAUGUAGCGGUGAAAUGCUUAGAGAUGAUACAGAACACCGAUUGCGAAGGCAGCUCACUAAGCUAUUUCUGACGCUGAGGCACGAAAGCGUGGGGAUCAAACAGG